Molecule: long non-coding RNA, 3065 nt
Filed under: Mus caroli (Ryukyu mouse)
Lineage: Eukaryota; Metazoa; Chordata; Mammalia; Rodentia; Muridae
Description: lncRNA (MGP_CAROLIEiJ_G0013458.1)
Source: RNAcentral
GUAGGUACUCCAUUGUCUGACGGAUCUGAGAACGCUGUCUGGGCUUCGUGCCAAGGGCUGGUAUUCACACAGCAACGACGGCCUCACAGAAGAGCUGUGGGAAGCAGGAGGGAGAGCCUCUCUUAGGGUGCCACUACUAUGGAGACACAGCUGGGCUGAACAAGAUUUGCUUCAAACGACAACAAGAGAGACAGAAAGUAUCUAAUUCAACCGCUGCCCAAGCAGGCAGGCACCAGAAGAGCUAGCAGCCAAUCCGGCCAUGCUCGAAGCCAGUCCUGCAGCUCAGCCAAUCAGUGACAUCAUUGGACAUCUCUUCAGAUUGCUCAUCAUGAUAUGAAGAUGAAACUUAAUAGCAAGAACUAAUGGAUGCUUUUCUUGGAUUCAGUCCAACACUCUGGAGACCAGAUCUUCAGGAAUGUAACUGGGAUAAUUGUCCAAAUCAAAUCCCAUGCCCUGUCAUGGUGAGUAGAACCAUUUAAAAUGCCAUUUUUUUUCGUGUUUAUCUGUAAUUUUUUCCCAUUGGUAAUCACAGUUUUCUGGUGAUUGGUAUAGGAAAUUCAAAGAACUGAUUUCCAUGUUUUAAUUCUCUUUAUGAUGGAAAGGCGAAUGUUUGGCUAGGGAUGCAGCUCAGUGGCUAUUGUGACUGACUUUGCCUAGGGCCACGUACACCUGGUGUACGGCAGGAUGGUAUACUGAAAUUCUAGCAUGGGGAGUUUGAGGCAGGAGCAUCGUAAGCUCAAGGUCGUCAAUCGUUACAGUGUAAGUACUAAGAAAGAUAUUGCACGGUAGAAUCGUUAAUUAUCCUGAAAUGUAAACAUGCCAUGCAUAAACUGGCGAAACACUUGUCAGGUUUCUCUGAACUCCGGCCAAUGUAAAAUGCCUGAAAAAUCAAUUCACUUGUUACUAUCAGACUCAUUUCACAAACGGUGUGGGAAGGAUUCAUCGUCCAUGUGUAUGUCUAUACAUGUACAUAUAUAUACAUAUGCACUGUAGCCAAGACUGGAGAUCUUGUUCAUUGUUUGAACUUGACUGAUUGUUAGUUUUUCUUGGCUUUCUUUAAUGUGUUCACACACACACACACACACACACACACACACACACACACACACAUCAAAUUGUUUUGGCUAGUUUUCUUAAAACCCCUUCCCUUGAGUUCCUUUGAAGGUUACUCCUUUGACCCUGAAGGUUCAGAAAAAGUAAUGAGGUUUUUUUUUUUUUUUUUAUCUGUAUCAAUAGUUAUUAGAGAAAUACAAAUUUAAAACAAAGUGGCAAUAGACAUAAAUCACCUCUGGUGACAAAAAUAAAAGUUCAUAGAAUAGUUACUCAGGAUCUGUGGAAGUAAACUCUUAAACAUGGCUGGUACAAUGCUAACGUGAUGUAGCCACUGCAGAAAACAGCCUAACAGCUUCUCAUAAGUUUAUAUGACUAAUUCCCAACUAGGCACAAGACAAGAAAUAGAAACUUAACAUCUGAGUUUCUUUUCCUGUCUUUGGGAUAAAAAUGCUCAUCAAGAGGCAACUUCAGGAAGGAGGGGGCUUAUUUGGAUUCUGUUUUGAGAGGAUGCAGUCCAUCCUGAUGGGAAAGGCUCGAAAGCCAAGCAGCAGGCAGCUAGGGAUGGAUUCUGGUGCUCAGCUAGCUAGUUUUCCCUUUUUUAUUCAGCCCAGCAGUUAUAAUGGAUAGUUUUAAAUAAAUAUGCUUCAUUGACUAUGUCUAAUUCUGUAUAACUUAGUUGAAGUUAAUGUAACAAAGAAAAACAUUGACCCUGUGUAUUAGAAAAUGGACUGAUGCUGGGGUUAGUGGCACACACCUUUAAUCCCAGCACUUGGGAGGCAGAGACAGGCAGAUCUCUGUUAGUUCAAGGUCAGUCUGGUCUACAGAAAAAGUUUCAGGACAGCCAGAACUACACAGAAAUACCAAGUCUUGAAAAAUAUUAAAUAGUAUUAAAUUACUUAUAUGUAUUUGUGGGGUUUGUGUAAAGUCCAUUAAAACAAUGUUCAUAGGAGUAAUUCUUGUCACCUGACAUCACAUAUAAAUAUUACUGUGGGUUUUUCUGUUAUUUUGUGGCUGUAGGUGGAAAGCCUCCUUAUCUAUAAAUAAGAAUUUUAGGUGCCUUUUGGUUUUUUGGUUUUGUUUUUGUUUUUUGUUUUGUUUUGUUUUUGUUUUUGCUAUAACAUAAGAUUUUUCAGUUCAUUGUUUAAUGGCACAGUGGUAGCUUACAGGUGAAAAUGAAAUGACUAAACAAUAGUUGGGUUUUCCAGGUUUUAUUUAGAAUGAAUGACUUUCAAGACUGUCAUUUAAGUAUGACAUUGACUAUUUAAUGUAUUUUUAAAUCACUAGAAUGUUAUCCAAUGACACAUAGGCUAAACUAGAUUUUAUAAAAUUUCCCCCAAUCUUAUUUAUAUCUGAUAAUUUUGUUUUCUUCUCUUAGCCAAUUCUUUGCUCAUGUGCCACUUUUGCAUAGUUAGAUAGCGUACUAAUCUUUGAGCAUGCAUUAAUUUUUUAACUAGGUAUUUUCUUCAUUUACAUUUCCAAUGCUAUCCCAAAAGUUCCCCCAUACCCUCCCCGCCACCCGCACUCCCUCUUCUUGGCCCUGGCAUUCCCCUGUACUGACUGGUUAGUUCAUAUUUUCUCUAGCUCCUCCAUUGGGGGCCCUGUGAUCCAUCCAAUAGCUGACUGUGAGCAUCCACUUCUGUGUUUGCUAGGUCCCGUUAUUAACAACUUAAUAUGUUUGAACUCUCAUGAUAGGUUAUAUGGGUGAUUUCUCUCCUUCCACCACAUUCUUUUUGGAAAGUUAACCGACAUGUUCAGAGUUGGCCACAGGUGCCUUUACCUGAUGAGCCAGCUCAUUUUCUUAUUGUAUAGUUUAUUCUAACUUGCUUUUAUUUAUUAAGAAUUUUGAAAGUAUUGAAAAAUCAUGACAGCAUUUCUUACUAGCCUUCUCCCUGGCAGUGUGAGAGAGAUGUGUACAUUGCAAAUGGCCCAGGAAUUUGAAGUUUUGGAAAAGAAGCAGAGUAAAGUAAUCAAGCCACAGACUCUAUUUUAUAAGUAAUAUAUUGAAAGUUAAA